RNAcentral lists this ribosomal RNA (1513 nucleotides) under Algisphaera agarilytica. RNAcentral describes it as "Bacterial small subunit ribosomal RNA". It matches the Rfam family "Bacterial small subunit ribosomal RNA". The record is from Rfam by way of RNAcentral. Lineage: Bacteria; Pseudomonadati; Planctomycetota; Phycisphaerae; Phycisphaerales; Phycisphaeraceae.
CAAUCGAAGAGUUUGAUCCUGGCUCAGAUCGAACGCUGGCGGCAUGGCUAAAACAUGCAAGUCGAACGCGAAAGUACCUUCGGGUGCGAGUAGAGUGGCGAAAGGGCGAGUAACGCGUUUCUAACGUACCUCCAAGCCAGGGAUAGCAUCGAGAAAUCGGUGGUAAUACCUGAUGACCCCGUAGUGUCGUAUGGCACAGCGGGCAAAGGCUUGCUACUUGGAGAUCGGGAAACGUCCUAUCAGCUUGUUGGUGAGGUAAUGGCUCACCAAGGCGAAGACGGGUAGCGGGUGUGAGAGCACGACCCGCCGCAUCGGGACUGAGACACUGCCCGGACUCCUACGGGAGGCUGCAGUAACGAAUAUUCCGCAAUGCGCGAAAGCGUGACGGAGCAAUGCCGCGUGCAGGAUGAAGCCCCUCGGGGUGUAAACUGCUGUCAGGGAUUAGGAACACAAUGACCAACCCCAAAGGAAGGACCGGCUAACUCUGUGCCAGCAGCCGCGGUAAUACAGAGGGUCCAAGCGUUGAUCGGAAUCACUGGGCUUAAAGGGUUCGUAGGCGGAUCUGUAAGUAUGUUGUGAAAUCCCACAGCUCAACUGUGGAAUUGCUUCGUAGACUGCAGAUCUUGAGCACGACAGGGGCCAUCAGAACGAUAGGUGGAGCGGUGAAAUGCGUAGAUAUCUAUCGGAAUGCCAAAGGUGAAGACAGAUGGCUGGGUCGUCGCUGACGCUCAGGAACGAAAGCAUGGGUAGCGAACGGGAUUAGAUACCCCGGUAGUCCAUGCCCUAAACGAUGUGUACUAGUUCGAGGAGGUUUUGACGCCAUCUCGGACGAAGCUAAAGUAUUAAGUACACCGCCUGGGGAGUACGGUCGCAAGGCUAAAACUCAAAGGAAUUGACGGGGACUCACACAAGCGGUGGAGCAUGUGGCUUAAUUCGAAGCAACGCGAAGAACCUUAUCCUGGGUUUGACAUGGACGGAUUAGCUUUCCGAAAAGAAAGUAACACUCUUUGAGUGGAACGUUCACAGGUGCUGCAUGGCUGUCGUCAGCUCGUGCUGUGAAGUGUCGGGUUAAGUCCCUUAACGAGCGAAACCCCUGUCGUUAGUUGCUACCAGGUAAUGCUGAGGACUCUAACGAGACUGCCGGUGUCAAACCGGAGGAAGGUGGGGAUGACGUCAAGUCCUCAUGGCCUUUAUGCCCAGGGCUGCACACGUGCUACAAUGCGUUGGACAGAGCGAAGCGAUACGGCAACGUGGAGCAAAUCGCAGAAACCAACGCUCAGUUCGGAUUGUGGUCUGCAACUCGACCACAUGAAGUUGGAAUCGCUAGUAAUCGCGUAUCAUCAAUGACGCGGUGAAUAAGUUCCUGAGUCUUGUACACACCGCCCGUCACGUCAUGGGAGCUGGUAGUGCCCGAAGUCGCAUCAAUUCAGGUGUGCCUACGGCAAGAUCGGUGACUGGGACGAAGUCGUAACAAGGUAGCCGUAGGGGAACCUGCGGCUGGAUCACCUCCUUU